RNAcentral lists this ribosomal RNA (494 nucleotides) under uncultured bacterium. RNAcentral's name for it is "bacterial SSU rRNA". It matches the Rfam family "Bacterial small subunit ribosomal RNA", at positions 62 to 543 of the family's 1533-position model. The record is from RNAcentral.
UCGAACGAGAAAGCCCUUCGGGGUGAGUACAGUGGCGAACGGGUGAGUAACACGUGGGCAAUCUGCCCCUCGCAGGGGGACAACCGGGGGAAACCCCGGCUAAUACCCCGUACGCUUGUUGAGUCGCAUGGCUCUACAAGGAAAGGUAGCUUCGGCCAUCCGGCGAGGGAUGAGCCCGCGGUGCAUUAGCUAGUUGGUGAGGUAACGGCUCACCAAGGCGACGAUGCAUAGCUGGUCUGAGAGGAUGAUCAGCCACACUGGGACUGAGACACGGCCCAGACUCCUGCGGGAGGCAGCAGUCGGGAAUCUUGCGCAAUGGGCGAAAGCCUGACGCAGCAACACCGUGUGAGCGACGAAGGCCUUCGGGUCGUAAAGCUCUGUUGUUGGGGACGAAGGGUUAGGGGUUAAUAGCCCCGAGCCUGACGGUACCCUUCGAGGAAGCCCCGGCUAACUACGUGCCAGCAGCCGCGGUAAUACGUAGGGGGCGAGCGUUG